GGGGCCCUGCCGUGUCCGUGAAGGCGGCAGUUACCGGUUUUGCCCCAACACCAGAAAAAAGGGAGCCGACUCGAGUGAGAGGGAACGCGAUAGGCUUCGGCCAAGGCGGGAACUCUCCGGAAGGCUCCCACCUGCGUAAGCAGGAGCAAAACUGGGCAGCCCACGGCACGGCGGGGUUCCG
Molecule: non-coding RNA, 181 nt
Filed under: Anaerolineaceae bacterium
Lineage: Bacteria; Bacillati; Chloroflexota; Anaerolineae; Anaerolineales; Anaerolineaceae
Also listed under: 1 other name
Description: 6S RNA
Rfam family: 6S / SsrS RNA
About the family: E. coli 6S RNA was the first non coding RNA to be sequenced, but its function was unknown until recently. It consists of 184 nucleotides that fold into an extended hairpin structure with a large single-stranded internal bulge.
Source: RNAcentral